GAGAGUGCGCGUCUGCCGGUGCAGGCCGCGGUCUUCAAAACCGUUGACGGGGCGUUGCACGUUCCGUGGUGGGUUCGACUCCCAUGCACUCUCGCA
This 96-nucleotide transfer RNA is filed under the name Chloroflexota bacterium. RNAcentral's name for it is "tRNA-Sec". It matches the Rfam family "Selenocysteine transfer RNA". RNAcentral also lists the same sequence under 3 other names. The record is from RNAcentral. Lineage: Bacteria; Bacillati; Chloroflexota.